Molecule: ribosomal RNA, 428 nt
Filed under: uncultured prokaryote
Description: bacterial SSU rRNA
Rfam family: Bacterial small subunit ribosomal RNA
Source: RNAcentral
UGAGGAAUUUUGCGCAAUGGGCGCAAUCCUGACGCAGCAACGCCGCGUGGGUGAUGAAGGCCUUCGGGUCGUAAAGCCCUGUCAGGUGGGAAGAAUGUCCCGGGACUGAACAGGUUCCGGGAGUGAUGGUACCACCAGAGGAAGCACCGGCUAACUCCGUGCCAGCAGCCGCGGUAAUACGGCGGGUGCAAGCGUUAUUCGGAAUUACGGGGCGUAAAGCGCGUGUAGGCGGGCCGGCAAGUCUGAUGUGAAAGCCCCGGGCUUAACCCGGGAAGUGCAUUGGAAACUGUGGGACUUGAGUACUGGAGAGGAUGGGGGAAUUCCCGGUGUAGAGGUGAAAUUCGUAGAGAUCGGGAGGAAUAUCAGUGGCGAAGGCGCCCAUCUGGACGGUAACUGACGCUGAGACGCGAAAGCGUGGGGAGCAAACA